AUGCUUCAGGAGCUGUAUCAUGGCAGGUUGAACUUGUCCAGACUAAACUAUGGUGUCAUUUCUCUACUGCCAAAGAUUAAGGAUGCUAAUAGUAUCCUACAGUAUAGACCCAUAUGUGUUCUAAAUGUUAUGUUUAAAGCUAUUACCAAAGCUCUGACACUUAGAUUUACUCCUCUGGCUCGACAAGUAAUCAACUCUCUUCAGACUGGAUUUAUUCCUGGGAGGUACAUUUUGGAUGGAUGUGUAAUUCUUCAUGAAGUUUUGCAUGAGUUGAAAACCUCUUACUCUGAAGGAAUUUUGCUUUAG
Molecule: ribosomal RNA, 306 nt
Filed under: Triticum aestivum (bread wheat)
Lineage: Eukaryota; Viridiplantae; Streptophyta; Magnoliopsida; Poales; Poaceae
Description: partial small subunit ribosomal RNA
Source: RNAcentral